GAGAAUUGAAACCGUAGUCACAAACGUAAACACUUCACAACAAGUCAAUAUUUAACAGAAAUAAACCAAAUAUAGCAACAAUGUAAAGGUCUAGGCCUAGCAUGCUCACAAAGAGAACAGGUAUUUGCAAUUUAGUCAGAUAGAGCAAAUAAAUUACUAACAUAUUUUUCCUAAGCUAAGCAAGUAGAAUCACAUUUUUAACAGUUAAAUACACGAAGAAACACAAUCUAAAUAAGUCAAGUAAGGUGAAUUUUCAG
RNAcentral lists this long non-coding RNA (257 nucleotides) under Nicotiana benthamiana. Its description in RNAcentral is "long non-coding RNA (NBEN_LNC018185)". Lineage: Eukaryota; Viridiplantae; Streptophyta; Magnoliopsida; Solanales; Solanaceae. The record is from RNAcentral.